AAGUUUGGAGAGUUUGAAGGAGAGUUGCUCCAAAACUCCACGUUGGGAUCGUUCAUCUUCUUGUUUUCAAGAGGUAAGUGAAGAUCCUGAGCUUGUUUUCAUGUUUUCUGAAGGUUUUAGAAGGGUUUUGGGUAGAGUUGCAUGAAUAGGGUAAAAAGUGAGGGUUUUGGUGUGUUGUUGCUAACAGCAUGUUUAUGUGUUAUAUGUGUUGUGUUGUUGGGGUUUUUAGGUAGUUUCUGACCCCUUUUAGCAUAUACUUGGGUGUAUGCGAGUUGAGGA
Molecule: long non-coding RNA, 279 nt
Filed under: Manihot esculenta (cassava)
Lineage: Eukaryota; Viridiplantae; Streptophyta; Magnoliopsida; Malpighiales; Euphorbiaceae
Description: long non-coding RNA (MESC_LNC010797)
Source: RNAcentral